This 730-nucleotide long non-coding RNA is filed under the name Vulpes vulpes (red fox). Its description in RNAcentral is "lncRNA (ENSVVUG00000004514.1)". Lineage: Eukaryota; Metazoa; Chordata; Mammalia; Carnivora; Canidae. The record is from RNAcentral.
AUAUAAAGAGCCAGCCUCACGGUGGAGAUGAUAACCAUGAAAGAGAAGAGUGACUAGAAGAAACAUGUCCUUGACAGCAUCAUUGAGCCCUUGAAUCAAACCAACACUUAAGCCUGAACUACUCCUGGACUGUUCUUGUUAAAUAAGCCAGUUAAUCCCCUUCAUUUGUAAGCCGUUUUUUUGGUUUGUUUUGUUUUUUUUUGUAAUAUCGGUUAGGACUUGUGUUCCAAGUAUUGGAAAACCCAACUCAAGCUGGCUCAAUAUCUUCUUCAGAACUCAGGAGAGGGUGUAAAACUGGUCUGCAGAAGUGCUAGCCAACAGGAAGCGUUAGGAAUGCCAGAGCCUCAAGGUUCCAAAGACUUCACAUUCUCUGCUAAAAUUCCAUUUUAAUGUGUUAAUAUUUAAAAAUUACAAAAUGCCUAAAAGUGAAUCCUAGUAACUUUUUUUUUUCUGACUAUAGUAAGAACUAUCCUUUGAGGAGGCCUCUCCAUCCUAUGCUACCAACUAUGUUACUUUGUUGAACCACUAAUGCCAUAGAAGUACUCUACUCUGAAAUUACUUGACCCAAAGAAGUAAGCUGGAGACUCAGGCUUGGAAGAGGGAAAAAGCUGGUUUUCCAGAGAGGAUGGAGCAUCUGAUAACUUCUCUAACAGCUGGUAAAACCCAACAUAGAAAAUGUGAAGUUCACUUCUCUGCCUAUCAGGGACAGAUUGGCAUCCAUCCACAAUAA